RNAcentral lists this ribosomal RNA (1332 nucleotides) under uncultured bacterium. Its description in RNAcentral is "bacterial SSU rRNA". It matches the Rfam family "Bacterial small subunit ribosomal RNA", at positions 28 to 1381 of the family's 1533-position model. The record is from RNAcentral.
GACGAACGCUGGCGGCGCGCCUAACACAUGCAAGUCGAACGAGCGAGAGAGAGCUUGCUCUCUCGAGCGAGUGGCGAACGGGUGAGUAACGCGUGAGGAACCUGCUUCAAAGAGGGGGACAACAGUUGGAAACGACUGCUAAUACCGCAUAAGCCCACGGCUCGGCAUCGAGCAGAGGGAAAAGGAGCAAUCCGCUUUGAGAUGGCCUCGCGUCCGAUUAGCUAGUUGGUGAGGUAACGGCCCACCAAGGCGACGAUCGGUAGCCGGACUGAGAGGUUGAACGGCCACAUUGGGACUGAGACACGGCCCAGACUCCUACGGGAGGCAGCAGUGGGGAAUAUUGCACAAUGGGGGAAACCCUGAUGCAGCGACGCCGCGUGGAGGAAGAAGGUCUUCGGAUUGUAAACUCCUGUUGUUGGGGAAGAUAAUGACGGUACCCAACAAGGAAGUGACGGCUAACUACGUGCCAGCAGCCGCGGUAAAACGUAGGUCACAAGCGUUGUCCGGAAUUACUGGGUGUAAAGGGAGCGCAGGCGGGAAGACAAGUUGGAAGUGAAAUCUAUGGGCUCAACCCAUAAACUGCUUUCAAAACUGUUUUUCUUGAGUAGUGCAGAGGUAGGCGGAAUUCCCGGUGUAGCGGUGGAAUGCGUAGAUAUCGGGAGGAACACCAGUGGCGAAGGCGGCCUACUGGGCACCAACUGACGCUGAGGCUCGAAAGUGUGGGUAGCAAACAGGAUUAGAUACCCUGGUAGUCCACACCGUAAACGAUGAUUACUAGGUGUUGGAGGAUUGACCCCUUCAGUGCCGCAGUUAACACAAUAAGUAAUCCACCUGGGGAGUACGACCGCAAGGUUGAAACUCAAAGGAAUUGACGGGGGCCCGCACAAGCAGUGGAGUAUGUGGUUUAAUUCGACGCAACGCGAAGAACCUUACCAAGUCUUGACAUCCCUUGACAGGCAUAGAAAUAUGUUUUCUCUUCGGAGCAAGGAGACAGGUGGUGCAUGGUUGUCGUCAGCUCGUGUCGUGAGAUGUUGGGUUAAGUCCCGCAACGAGCGCAACCCUUAUGGUCAGUUACUACGCAAGAGGACUCUGGCCAGACUGCCGUUGACAAAACGGAGGAAGGUGGGGAUGACGUCAAAUCAUCAUGCCCUUUAUGACUUGGGCUACACACGUACUACAAUGGCGUUAAACAAAGAGAAGCAAGACCGCGAGGUGGAGCAAAACUCAGAAACAACGUCCCAGUUCGGACUGCAGGCUGCAACUCGCCUGCACGAAGUCGGAAUUGCUAGUAAUCGUGGAUCAGCAUGCCACGGUGAAUACGUUCCCGGGCCU